Betta splendens (Siamese fighting fish) is the source of this 1897-nucleotide long non-coding RNA. RefSeq lists it as uncharacterized. The transcript is spliced from 3 exons. Lineage: Eukaryota; Metazoa; Chordata; Actinopteri; Anabantiformes; Osphronemidae. The record is from RefSeq and is a predicted model, not a curated record.
GGGGAGACGUGGCUUUGCAGCAGUGGACGCCUUAAACCAGACCGACUGCCUGUUUUUUUAUUUAUUUAAAUAAUUCUGAAUUUCAUGUGCACUAGUAAGUUAAUAGAAAGCGCUGCCUUAAUUACCGCUUGUGAAUUCCACUGGGUGGCGCACUUGCACCAGGUUUAGAGUCUGCACCAAAUCUCACUUAAGGAUUUCAACCGACAUCAGUUUCUAAUAUAAUGUAAUGUCAUCUUUAAUUUGAAAGCAUCCACAGUCACAUUCAGCGUUUGGACAAGAAAACUUCAAACUUCAGCCUACACAGAGUGAUGUCCACUGAAACCGUGGUUAUUAAAACGCGUAUCGGUUAUGACUAAAGCUGGAUCAAAGGCAUUUCCAGGCACCAAGACCCCCCAGGAUCAUUCAGUCUUAAUGUUUCAGUCUGACAAAUAAUUUGCACUAAUAAUUUUGAGUAAUUAAUUUUCCUCUAAAGCUUGGGUAUACUUUUAAUCAGUACCUAAACUAAACUAUAUAUGAAGUCUAAAUAAUAUUUAAGCGUCUAAAUAAUAUUUAAGCUUCGUGCUAAUUGUAAUGUUUUUGUGGAUUCCUUCGCAGCAUCUAUUUUUGGUGUAUACUCAGCAUACCCUCUGAACUGCUUCUAGCUUUGAGGCCCUCUAGUGGGUUCGUCUGCUUUUUGAAAGUGCUAAACCUUUGUACUACUGCAUGGUAGGAAUGGGAAAUGUCUUUUCUGCUUUCAUGGUCUUGUUGUUUAGUUCGGAUGAAAAGCGUGGUUUGAGAGCAUCCUCAACAAGCAACUAAAAGCAAUUGCCAUUAUAAUAAUUUCAGCUAUUACUGACCCUGGCAAAUAAAUAAAUAAAUAAAUGUAUGUUGAGAAAACACAGUAAAUGUUGAUAACAUGACACUGUAUCAUUUUGAUGAGAUCCAAAGGACUGGAAACAACACAAAUCAUGCCUUUUAUCACACACACACGUGUCUUCACAUUUCUAGGCUCCUUAAUUUCUAUCAGUCAAAGCAUUGCUCUAAACUUGCUGCUAAGGUUCUGUUCAAUUUGUGGAGAAUCAUUUUACAAGCAACUAACGAGACAUCAAGUAUGAUAUUCACAUUGGCUCCAUUAUAUAUUAUUGCCCUAUUUGAUCAUUGGUUUACAUGAAACACAAUGGAAAGCACACUUGAGUUCUAAUGGAUCCAGUCUGUUGAACAGUACCAGGUGUUUGCCAUCAACACUACUGGGUCUCAUCACCAUAGAGAAUGUUCCUCAUUCUUCUUCCACAUAGAACUUUGCCUCAUACAUCCUGUAUGAGGCAAAAACAAGGGGCCUAAAAUGUACAUGCUGGAGAUGAAUUUUAGAUUUUGUAUUUAAUCUAAAAAUGGGAAUGAGAAACAUUUAUGAUCAACUCCUCAGAACUUUGUGUGGUUUGCAUUGACAACUUAAAUAAACAACACUGAUGGUUUUAAUUGGCAGAAUUUACUUGAGGUAAAAGACUGGACACCUGUCUGUUAGUGCGAUGAUGCAAACGCGUUUACGAAAAUGCAUUUUCUGAACAAACGCAUCCAUGUCCACCUCAGCCUUCUGUUGCGGCGCUCACCCCCUCGGUCUUCAGGCUCUGCCAAAGAAACGGGUGGAUUUCUGUUGAUGAAGGGCAGAGCAGUGUUCUCAAUUCGAAUUUCCACUGUUUGGGUGUUUCAUCUGUGAAGAGAAGGCUGAGAGAAGAAGGGAUAACAAACUUGAUACCUGCAGUACUGCCAGUAAUACUUCUGAAUGCAUAGUUGUGCUUCAGUCCCAAGGCUGGAGCUAAUGCAAUUUAAAGCAUUAAGGACAAAGCCGCCUUUGGUUUGUUGUAGCAUUAAUAUUUUGAUACAGUAAACAUUAAAAGUGUCUGAACAUUUUCUGACUUUC